UGGGGAAUCUUGCGCAAUGGGCGAAAGCCUGACGCAGCGAUGCCGCGUGCGGGAGGAAGGCCUUCGGGUUGUAAACCGCUUUCAGGAGGGACGAAGCUACUCGGGUGAAUAGCCCAGAGGGUGACGGUACCUCCAGAAGAAGCCCCGGCUAACUACGUGCCAGCAGCCGCGGUGAUACGUAGGGGGCAAGCGUUGUCCGGAUUUAUUGGGCGUAAAGAGCGCGUAGGCGGCCACAAAAGUCCGCUGUGAAAGUCCGAGGCUCAACCUCGGAAUGUCGGUGGAAACUUUGUGGCUAGAGUCCGGAAGAGGAGAAUGGAAUUCCUGGUGUAGCGGUGAAAUGCGCAGAUAUCAGGAAGAACACCCGUGGCGAAGGCGGUUCUCUGGGACGGUACUGACGCUGAGGCGCGAAAGCGUGGGGAGCGAACAG
RNAcentral lists this ribosomal RNA (427 nucleotides) under uncultured bacterium. Its description in RNAcentral is "bacterial SSU rRNA". It matches the Rfam family "Bacterial small subunit ribosomal RNA", at positions 355 to 775 of the family's 1533-position model. The record is from RNAcentral.